RNAcentral lists this non-coding RNA (31 nucleotides) under Mus musculus (house mouse). Lineage: Eukaryota; Metazoa; Chordata; Mammalia; Rodentia; Muridae. The record is from RNAcentral.
UAAGGUAAUGGUGCUGACUAACAGGUCAUGU